GACGUCUGGCGAACCCCGGCUGGGGUUCCAGGCGAGAACGGAGGUCGGGGCCUUGGCCGAGGUAGCCUGAAUAAAACCAACGGCCAUAACUCUUCCAGCGGUGGGGUCAAGGACUCUCACGGAGGUCGAUGUGACACUACCGGUCAAUUCAUCGGACGAUAUUAAUGUGCUUCUAACGGUGAGUAUCGGUAUUGUACGAAAGAGUUUUCUCUCCACGUCCGCGGAGUACACCGUU
This 235-nucleotide unclassified non-coding RNA is filed under the name Bombus terrestris (buff-tailed bumblebee). RNAcentral describes it as "misc RNA ENSBTSG00005034710.1". The record is from RNAcentral. Lineage: Eukaryota; Metazoa; Arthropoda; Insecta; Hymenoptera; Apidae.